AGUCGAGGGGCACCGGGAGUGCUUGCACUCGCCGGCGACCGGCGCACGGCCUGCGGAACGCGUAUGGAAUCUACCUCUUUCUGGGGAAUAGCCCAUGGAAACGUGGAUUAAUACCCCAUAGUAUUCAGAAAUCGCAUGAUUUUUGAAUUAAAGCUUUGGCGGAAAGAGAUGACCAUGCGUAUCAUUAGCUAGUAGGUGAGGUAACGGCUCACCUAAGCUACGAUGAUUAGGGGUCCUGAGAGGGAGAUCCCCCACACUGGUACUGAGACACGGACCAGACUCCUACGGGAGGCAGCAGUGAGGAAUAUUGGACAAUGGUCAAAAGACUGAUCCAGCCAUGCCGCGUGCAGGAUGAAUGCCCUAUGGGUUGUAAACUGCUUUUAUACGGGAAGAACACCACCCACGUGUGGGUGACUGACGGUACUGUAUGAAUAAGCACCGGCUAACUCCGUGCCAGCAGCCGCGGUAAUACGGAGGGUGCAAGCGUUAUCCGGAAUCAUUGGGUUUAAAGGGUCCGCAGGCGGACAAUUAAGUCAGAGGUGAAAUCCCAUCGCUUAACGAUGGAACUGCCUUUGAUACUGGUUGACUUGAGUCAUAUGGAAGUAGAUAGAAUGUGUAGUGUAGCGGUGAAAUGCAUAGAUAUUACACAGAAUACCGAUUGCGAAGGCAGUCUACUACGUAUGUACUGACGCUCAUGGACGAAAGCGUGGGGAGCGAACAGGAUUACAUACCCUGGUAGUCCACGCCGUACACGAUGGACACUAGUUGUUGGGAGUAAUCUCAGUGACUAAACGAAAGUGAUAAUUGUCCCACCUGGGGAGUACGA
RNAcentral lists this ribosomal RNA (826 nucleotides) under uncultured Bacteroidota bacterium. RNAcentral describes it as "bacterial SSU rRNA". It matches the Rfam family "Bacterial small subunit ribosomal RNA", at positions 60 to 885 of the family's 1533-position model. The record is from RNAcentral. Lineage: Bacteria; Pseudomonadati; Bacteroidota.